This 1510-nucleotide long non-coding RNA is filed under the name Homo sapiens (human). RNAcentral's name for it is "HSALNT0129419". The record is from RNAcentral. Lineage: Eukaryota; Metazoa; Chordata; Mammalia; Primates; Hominidae.
AAUGAAUCUACCAGUGUUGUUGCAGUAGGUAGCUAAUCAGGCAUCAGUGGGCAGGAGAGGGCUCCACCAAAACCCCACCAGGAAUGUCAGGCAUCAGGUGAUGGUCAGGCGGUUGUUAACUGUCUCUCUAAAAUAAUAAUUGGUUGCAGCCAGCAGCAGGGAAAGGCAGUCUUUCUACAGAUAGGAAACACCUGAGACUGGUGAUCAGCCGCUUCCUGAUGAGAUCUCAGGAGUGAGCUCGAGCAUGCGCAUUAAGAAACAAAAUGGCCGAGUUUAACUGGUAUGUGAACGUUUUAAGAUUUGACUCAGGGGCAUAAAGGCAGAAAAAGAGACUGAGGCAAGUUUUAGGGCAGGAGUGGAAGGCAAGAAUUGAUGUUGCUGCAGACCUGUACGGAUUUGCUGCUGGAGGUCUCUUUUCCACUGGAGCCUACUUUGAAAUCAGCUGAGGAGCCACCAAAUCCUAUGGCCACCUGGGCUGUGCCCUAUGAACAGCUCUCUAUUGAAAGAGAGCUACUAGGUUGACUGAUGGCAGUUCCAAGGUGGAUAAUCAACAUCCUGUUUGGAAGACUACUGUACUACAUCAGAUGAUGGAAAAGUUCUGAUUGAGGAAGGUUACAUCUACUACAAUACUGCAGAUACAGUAUAACAUUGGUAUUGCUGGUAUGAUUCCUCUCCCUUAGAAUCAGGAAGACAGCCUGGCUUGAUGUCAUGACUACAGGGGUCUAAAAACCCAGAUGGGAACUUUUGCCUUGAGGUUUUCUGAAGCUAAGAUGCAUCACAUAGAUCUUGGUGUUUCAGUCUGAAGACAGGCAGUCUAUGUGUGUGAAUAAGGCCCCUGGAAAGCUUGCACCUGGGCCCCAAUGCUUGCCACAGUAUCUUUCUCUUGCUGCACCGUAUCCUGUGCCUUUGAAUAAAAGCCACACAGAAGAAUGCUCUGUGAAGUCUUAUAAGUCCUUUCAAAUAUCCAAAUUUGUAAAAUCUUUGCAAUAGUCAAGUGACAAAAGCAAGGUCUAGAGCAAUACGUAAGACUGUGGGAAGUAAACUUUCUGAAAUGCUAGCAAGCAAAGGUGGAAAAAGCCAUCAAGGACACAUGUGGGAGAAGAUUUUGAUUCUUCCUACACAAGGAUGUAUUGUAUUGGGUGUUCCAGUUGGCUUGAGGACCAGCAGAGCUUGCAAAAAUUUCAGGGGCACAGACUGAAAAUAAAAGAACAGUGGCAUAGCCCAAAAUAAAGCUUUUAUCCAGCAUGACUAUACCUUGCACAGAUAGUGUGACCAGUAGCUGUGUGACAUCAUGACUCUGGGGAUCUUGGGAAACGUAUGCUGAGAGAGGUUGCACCUUCACCAGGGUGGAGGCUGGAUUCACAGGGCCCAAAGUCUAUUCAUUAUGUAAGAUAUCUGAAAGGAGGCACCACAAACUCUAGCCACUCUUACAACAAUAUUUUGGUUAGAAACUAUAUUUAGAAUUUCAAUAGAAGAGGCCAGAAACACAGCUGCCCACAUCUGAAAGAAC